Molecule: ribosomal RNA, 460 nt
Filed under: uncultured bacterium
Lineage: Bacteria
Description: partial 16S ribosomal RNA
Rfam family: Bacterial small subunit ribosomal RNA
Source: RNAcentral
CCUACGGGCGGCUGCAGUGAGGAAUAUUGGUCAAUGGGCGCGAGCCUGAACCAGCCAAGUAGCGUGAAGGAUGACUGCCCUACGGGUUGUAAACUUCUUUUAUAAAGGAAUAAAUUGAUGCACGUGCGCCUUUUUGUAUGUACUUUAUGAAUAAGGAUCGGCUAACUCCGUGCCAGCAGCCGCGGUAAUACGGAGGAUCCGAGCGUUAUCCGGAUUUAUUGGGUUUAAAGGGAGCGUAGAUGGGUUGUUAAGUCAGUUGUGAAAGUUCGCGGCUCAACCGUAAAAUUGCAAUUGAUACUGGCAAUCUAGAGUACAGGUGAGGUAGGCGGAAUGCAUGGUGUAGCGGUGAAAUGCUUAGAUAUCAGGAAGAACACCGAUUGCGAAGGCAGCUUACUAAACUGCAACUGACAUUGAUGCUCGAAAGUGUGGGUAUCAAACAGGAUUAGAUACCCGUGUAGUC